This 848-nucleotide ribosomal RNA is filed under the name uncultured bacterium. Its description in RNAcentral is "bacterial SSU rRNA". It matches the Rfam family "Bacterial small subunit ribosomal RNA", at positions 28 to 918 of the family's 1533-position model. The record is from RNAcentral.
GAUGAACGCUGGCGGUAUGCCUAACACAUGCAAGUCGAACGGGCUCUUUCGGGAGCUAGUGGCGGACGGGUGAGUAACGCGUGAGAAUCUGCCUUCAGGUCGGGGACAACAGAGGGAAACCUCUGCUAAUACCGGAUGUGCCUAACGGUGAAAGAUUUAUCGCCUGAAGAGGAGCUCGCGUCUGAUUAGCUAGUUGGAGAGGUAAAAGCUCACCAAGGCAACGAUCAGUAGCUGGUCUGAGAGGAUGAGCAGCCACACUGGGACUGAGACACGGCCCAGACUCCUACGGGAGGCAGCAGUGGGGAAUUUUCCGCAAUGGGCGAAAGCCUGACGGAGCAAUACCGCGUGAGGGAGGAAGGCUCUUGGGUUGUAAACCUCUUUUCUCAGGGAAGAAUAACUGACGGUACCUGAGGAAUAAGCAUCGGCUAACUCCGUGCCAGCAGCCGCGGUAAUACGGAGGAUGCAAGCGUUAUCCGGAAUUAUUGGGCGUAAAGCGUCCGCAGGUGGCCUAACAAGUCUGCUGUCAAAGACCGAAGCUUAACUUCGGGCAGGCGGUGGAAACUGUGAGGCUAGAGGCCGGUAGGGGUAGAGGGAAUUCCCAGUGUAGCGGUGAAAUGCGUAGAGAUUGGGAAGAACACCAGUGGCGAAGGCGCUCUACUGGGCCGGCACUGACACUCAGGGACGAAAGCUAGGGGAGCGAAAGGGAUUAGAUACCCCUGUAGUCCUAGCUGUAAACGAUGGAUACUAGGUGUAGCUUGUAUCGACCCAAGCUGUGCCGAAGCUAACGCGUUAAGUAUCCCGCCUGGGGAGUACGCACGCAAGUGUGAAACUCAAAGGAAUUGACGGGG